AAGCGUCGUAAGUUGAAUUUCGGGAUUAGUACGUCGGUCGUGCCUUAGGUACGUACUGGUAUUACUGGUUCCUACCUUCUGACGAACCAUCAUGUCAUUAAUUUGGUGUGGUGGGGAAUCAGGACUGUUACUUUGAAAAAAUUAGAGUGUUUAAAGCAGGCUCGCGCUUGAAUACAUUAGCAUGGAAUAAUGAAAUAGGACGUUGAUCCUAUUUUGUGGUUUCUAGGAUUGACGUAAUGAUUAAUAGGGAUAGUUGGG
RNAcentral lists this ribosomal RNA (258 nucleotides) under uncultured Glomus. RNAcentral's name for it is "partial 18S ribosomal RNA". It matches the Rfam family "Eukaryotic small subunit ribosomal RNA", at positions 632 to 886 of the family's 1831-position model. Lineage: Eukaryota; Fungi; Glomeromycota; Glomeromycetes; Glomerales; Glomeraceae. The record is from RNAcentral.